Molecule: long non-coding RNA, 224 nt
Organism: Eptesicus fuscus (big brown bat)
Lineage: Eukaryota; Metazoa; Chordata; Mammalia; Chiroptera; Vespertilionidae
Exons: 3
Source: RefSeq, a predicted model, not a curated record
GCGCUGUCAGUCUGAGUGAGUGGCAGGUGACCGCGCUGUCAGUCUGACCCUCCCUUCGCUUGAGAAGGUAAAUUCUGGAAUCUCCCAACCAGGGGGUUCUUGGAGUCCCUGAGUCAUGGCAUCGUGGUGCUGGGAGAGCCCUGGAGACCAGGCCCGCUGGUCUCUGUCACAGCUCUUCUGGAAGAAGCCACAGACAAUGCUCCCACGAAUGGGCAUGGCUGUGU